Tripterygium wilfordii is the source of this 315-nucleotide long non-coding RNA. RefSeq lists it as uncharacterized. The record is from RefSeq and is a predicted model, not a curated record. Lineage: Eukaryota; Viridiplantae; Streptophyta; Magnoliopsida; Celastrales; Celastraceae. The transcript has 2 exons.
ACUCUGCCGUGUACCCUCUUCAUCCACCAUCAUCUCAACUUCACUUGCAGCCACCUCUGACCAGUCACCUCCAAUCGCCGGUCGACCACCUGAUUUUGGAACUAUCGUUGAAGGUCUCUAGAAGUUGGUUGGCUCAUUGGAUAUUACUUGACGUUUAUUGUUUGAGCUUGUGAAGUUUGUAUCUACAAGAGGUCAGGAGGAUGUUCAGGAUCGGCUGCCGGAGACGUGACAGUGCAGUGUAGUCUGUGUCUAUUAGAUUUAUAUUUCUUGUCUUUAUUAGGACUUGGACUUGUUAAACUAUUUAAAUUCGGCAUA